This 30-nucleotide non-coding RNA is filed under the name Rattus norvegicus (Norway rat). Lineage: Eukaryota; Metazoa; Chordata; Mammalia; Rodentia; Muridae. The record is from RNAcentral.
UCAUAGAUUGAGAGCCAUGGUUUGGGUGGU